This 510-nucleotide ribosomal RNA is filed under the name uncultured bacterium. RNAcentral's name for it is "partial 16S ribosomal RNA". It matches the Rfam family "Bacterial small subunit ribosomal RNA", at positions 30 to 523 of the family's 1533-position model. The record is from RNAcentral.
AUUGAACGCUGGCGGCAUGCCUAACACAUGCAAGUCGAACGGUAACAGGUCCCGUAGCAAUACGGGAUGCUGACGAGUGGCGGACGGGUGAGUAAUGCGUAGGAAUUUACCUCAAAGCGGGGGAUAGCCCGGAGAAAUCCGGAUUAAUACCGCAUGUGCUCCACGGAGGACAGCGGGCCUCUACUUGUAAGCUCGCACUUUGAGAUAAGCCUACGUCGGAUUAGCUAGUUGGUAGGGUAAAGGCCUACCAAGGCGACGAUCCGUAGCUGGUUUGAGAGGAUGAUCAGCCACACUGGGACUGAGACACGGCCCAGACUCCUACGGGAGGCAGCAGUGGGGAAUAUUGGACAAUGGGCGAAAGCCUGAUCCAGCAAUGCCGCGUGUGUGAAGAAGGCCUGCGGGUUGUAAAGCACUUUUAUCAGGAAAGAAAAUCUCGGGGCUAAUAUCCCCGGGCCUUGACGGUACCUGAUGAAUAAGCACCGGCUAACUCCGUGCCAGCCGCCGCCGUAA